GAUGAACGCUGGCGGCGUGCCUAAUACAUGCAAGUCGAGCGAACAGACGAGGAGCUUGCUCCUCUGACGUUAGCGGCGGACGGGUGAGUAACACGUGGAUAACCUACCUAUAAGACUGGGAUAACUUCGGGAAACCGGAGCUAAUACCGGAUAAUAUAUUGAACCGCAUGGUUCAAUAGUGAAAGACGGUUUUGCUGUCACUUAUAGAUGGAUCCGCGCCGCAUUAGCUAGUUGGUAAGGUAACGGCUUACCAAGGCAACGAUGCGUAGCCGACCUGAGAGGGUGAUCGGCCACACUGGAACUGAGACACGGUCCAGACUCCUACGGGAGGCAGCGUUAGGGAAUCUUCCGCAAUGGGCGAAAGCUUGACGGAGCAACGCCGCGUGAGUGAUGAAGGUCUUCGGAUCGUAAAACUCUGUUAUUAGGGAAGAACAAAUGUGUAAGUAACUAUGCACGUCUUGACGGUACCUAAUCAGAAAGCCACGGCUAACUACGUG
This 497-nucleotide ribosomal RNA is filed under the name uncultured bacterium. Its description in RNAcentral is "partial 16S ribosomal RNA". It matches the Rfam family "Bacterial small subunit ribosomal RNA", at positions 28 to 507 of the family's 1533-position model. The record is from RNAcentral.